CAGAGACUCAGAACACGCGCACUUCACCGAAACACCAACUUCGCGGUUUCACCGAUUCUUGCGACCUGGCCGGUGCUCUGGGAUAAUUAAAAGCGAUAAUACUAAUUAAAAUACGCUUUUCCCCGUGCACUGGGCCGAACUCCACGGUACUGCAAUGCGGAGCCGACCCGCGGCAGGGUCGGAGCAAGCUCCGUGCACCCGCCAGGUCUCAAAAAUCAGUUUAAUAUUCUGAGUCUCCUAUGGAGACUGUAUCAGAUAUUAAGCUGAUAAGAACAGAUACUACACUUUGAUCUUAGCUCAGAGAGCCGAGAAGCGAUGCCUGUUUCUCUCCUUUCAUGAUUUAUAUAAUGUACUUUGUUGCUUUUUGAUUACGAGUUAGUGUUCAUCAUUAUGCGCUGCCCAGCGGUGAGUUGUGGUACUAUUUUCAUAUUCUAUAUUAUGCGUAACGUGAACUAUAUUACACUUACUAUAUAGAUUGGCAGAAUACAUCUGCAUGGAUUGUGUACAUCUGCGUAGCGUUGGUAUUGUUUGUAUGCAUCUAUAAUCCUUUAACGUUUGAUAAAUUAUAAGUAUGAAUUGUGUACUCUGAAUGUAAAUCUGGUAACAGUCUUUGUUGGAAUUCGACCUUUACUUCUAUCUAAUUGGCAUGUACUGUUACAUAUACAAUCUGUUUAUUUAAAUGAAGUCUUGUCGCAAGAAAAUUAUCAUUAUCUGAAUAUCAUUCAGAUGAAGAUGUUGUUACGGUAUGAAUAUAAGUAAGAAUUCUUUUAUCUAUACAGAAAGGGAGCUAAUUUUAUAAAAAAUCAGACUUCGGUCACCAUCAAUUCCUUUUGAAGGUGCCACAAACUGUGUACCUUCAAAUUCAAAGUCCGAAAUAUCUUCGACUAGUGAACAUGAAAAUACUCAAUGCAAGACUCCUUUGAUGAAUAUAAAUGAAAAUGCAAAAUACGAGACUAUUAUGAAUGUCGAUCUACAAAUUACAACGAAAUCAUUCUUUAAACUUGUUGUACUUGCCAAACAUCAACUAAUAGUUACAAUAAACGUGUACAAUUUAUAAUCGAUGACAAAAUGCAUAAUAAAACUAUAAUUCUAAAAGAA
Pogonomyrmex barbatus (red harvester ant) is the source of this 1098-nucleotide long non-coding RNA. NCBI's taxonomy places the organism in Eukaryota, Metazoa, Arthropoda, Insecta, Hymenoptera, Formicidae. The record is from RefSeq and is a predicted model, not a curated record.